UCUUCUGGAGUCGUAGACUUCGGUCUGCUACCUCUUACCCAUGUCUUUUGAGUACCUUCGUUUCCUCGGCGGGUCCGCCCGCCGAUUGGACAACAUUCAAACCCUUUGCAGUUGCAAUCAGCGUCUGAAAAAACAUAAUAGUUACAACUUUCAACAACGGAUCUCUUGGUUCUGGCAUCGAUGAAGAACGCAGCGAAAUGCGAUAAGUAGUGUGAAUUGCAGAAUUCAGUGAAUCAUCGAAUCUUUGAACGCACAUUGCGCCCCUUGGUAUUCCAUGGGGCAUGCCUGUUCGAGCGUCAUUUGUACCUUCAAGCUCUGCUUGGUGUUGGGUGUUUGUCUCGCCUCUGCGUGUAGACUCGCCUUAAAACAAUUGGCAGCCGGCGUAUUGAUUUCGGAGCGCAGUACAUCUCGCGCUUUGCACUCAUAACGACGACGUCCAAAAGUACAUUUUUACACUCUUGACCUCGGAUCAGGUAGGGAUACCCGCUGAACUUAAGCAUAUCAUAAGCCGGGAGGAAGA
This 520-nucleotide ribosomal RNA is filed under the name Epicoccum nigrum. RNAcentral describes it as "eukaryotic LSU rRNA". The stretch from base 146 to 299 matches the Rfam family "5.8S ribosomal RNA". The record is from RNAcentral. Lineage: Eukaryota; Fungi; Ascomycota; Dothideomycetes; Pleosporales; Didymellaceae.